GGCCUUAUGGUCUAGUAGUAUGAUUCUCGCUUUGGGUAGGGCACCCCCCCGCAUUCUCACUGCGAGAGGUCCUGGGUUCAAUUCCCAGUGAGGCCU
RNAcentral lists this transfer RNA (96 nucleotides) under Moniliophthora roreri MCA 2997. It matches the Rfam family "tRNA". From Rfam's summary of the family: Transfer RNA (tRNA) molecules are approximately 80 nucleotides in length. Their secondary structure includes four short double-helical elements and three loops (D, anti-codon, and T loops). The record is from Rfam by way of RNAcentral. Lineage: Eukaryota; Fungi; Basidiomycota; Agaricomycetes; Agaricales; Marasmiaceae.